This 532-nucleotide long non-coding RNA is filed under the name Homo sapiens (human). Its description in RNAcentral is "non-protein coding lnc-GIMD1-6:1". Lineage: Eukaryota; Metazoa; Chordata; Mammalia; Primates; Hominidae. The record is from RNAcentral.
GAUCAUUUCAGGCAAUAAGAACCCAUGUAACGACUAGUGGUCGUGGCUGAACAUUGUGAACGUAGUCUGGAAGACUUGCUUCGAGAAAGGAAACCUGUGAGCUGUUCAACGGUUUUGUGUAUAGCAUUUGAGGUUCUUCAGGGCUUGCAGUAUAUGAACAAACAUGGUAUAGUACACAGGGCAUUGUCUCCUCAUAAUAUCCUGUUGGACCGAAAGGGACAUAUUAAAUUGGCUAAAUUUGGACUUUAUCACAUGACAGCUCAUGGUGAUGAUGUUGAUUUCCCAAUAGGUAUGUGAAAGAGAAGAUACUUGGCAAGAUAGUUUUAAAAUGUAUGUAGAGAAGAACAAACACCUACAAAGAGCCUGCAUUUUCCCAAAGAGAAACUAAAAGGUAUCCCUCGUACUUGGCCCCUGAGGUAAUUGCACAGGGAAUUUUCAAAACCACUGAUCACAUGCCAAGUAAAAAACCAUUGCCUUCUGGCCCCAAAUCAGAUGUAUGGUCUCUUGGAAUCAUUUUAUUUGAGCUUUGUGU